UGGGGAAUAUUGCACAAUGGGCGCAAGCCCUGAUGCAGCCAUGCCGCGUGUGUGAAGAAGGCCUUCGGGUUGUAAAGCACUUUCAGCGAGGAGGAAGGUGGGUGAACUUAAUACGUUCAUCAAUUGACGUUACUCGCAGAAGAAACACCGGCUAACUCCGUGCCAGCAGCCGCGGUAAUACGGAGGGUGCAAGCGUUAAUCGGAAUUACUGGGCGUAAAGCGCACGCAGGCGGUUUGUUAAGUCAGAUGUGAAAUCCCCCGGGCUCAACCUGGGAACUGCAUUUGAAACUGGCAAGCUAGAGUCUCGUAGAGGGGGGUAGAAUUCCAGGUGUAGCGGUGAAAUGCGUAGAGAUCUGGAGGAAUACCGGUGGC
Molecule: ribosomal RNA, 372 nt
Filed under: uncultured bacterium
Lineage: Bacteria
Description: partial 16S ribosomal RNA
Rfam family: Bacterial small subunit ribosomal RNA
Source: RNAcentral